ACGAAAAUAAAAAGACCCAAAAAAUUUAUUUUCCCUCGAAAUUUCUCUCCUUUGUCUCUCUCCCUUCCCUUGAAUUACCCAAAACCUGAAACCCCAAGCAACCCCAAAAGUGGAGAACCCAAAUCGGAACCGCCCAAAAAAUUGAAGCUCCUUCAUUCUCCGUCAGUUCCGCUGCCCCAAAAAUUGGAGCUCCACCAUUUUCCCUCCCUCAAUUCUCCACCGUUCUCCCUCCCUUAGUUCACCUUCGGUAAUCUUUGUGUCUCCAUUUCCUCAAACCUCAGUUUCUCUCACUCAGCGUUCUCCCUCUCUCACUGGCAAACAUUCUUGAUAUUGAGAAAGCUAUAGCGGAAGGCUGAGGUUUGUACUUAUUGUAUCAGUGCUAAGUUUGUUGUCGCUUAACUUUCAUUUCAGAUUUUAUCUCUAUGGGAAUAUGUAGACUCUUCUGCUCUGUAAUUAACGGUUGAUGGUGAAGUUGCAAUUUUCACUUUGUCACCAAUGAAUAUGUAGCUCUAUUAAUUGAGGUUGGAACACCUAGUAACAAGAUAUAGCUCUUUUGGGUCAAUGGAGAAAGUCCAUGAGUUCCCACGAAAAGAAACAAGUUUAACAAAUGGGAACCUGAUUUCAUUUUGAACUGGUAAUGCAACGUACGGGUAUUCUUUCUUUCUCUCCCUUGUUUUUUGCUCUUUUAAGUGUCACUAUUGUCAAAAGUAACAAGUAGGAAAGUGUUUUAGGAUGGAUUAAGUUGGACAGUUCUUUGAGAACUUGUGAGUUUAUCAACAUUAUUGUCUCUUUGAAUCCUAGCUGCCGCUGGAUGGUCUAGAUGUAGUAAUAUUUACUGUUGUAUUUUUAGCAGAAUCAACAAGCAAAAAGUUUCAAUUGCACGUGCAUAUUUCUUGUGUACAAAUUGGCUGGUUUUCUUUUGUUCCACUCAUUAUUUGGGUAUACUCUUUGGAGCCCAACCAAACGAAUCAACCCCUUAAAGAUAAACUUUCAUCAAUAG
Humulus lupulus (European hop) is the source of this 1000-nucleotide long non-coding RNA. RefSeq lists it as uncharacterized. The record is from RefSeq and is a predicted model, not a curated record. NCBI's taxonomy places the organism in Eukaryota, Viridiplantae, Streptophyta, Magnoliopsida, Rosales, Cannabaceae. The transcript is spliced from 4 exons.